GUGUGAUCCCGGCCACGGACGAACGCUAGCGGCGUGCCUGACACAUGCUAGUCGGGCGACCCCGAGCCGAUCGGGGAAGCGGCAAACAACUCAGUAACGCGUGGGCAACGUGCCCGGAAGCCGCGGAUAGCCCCGCCAAAAGCGGGGGUAAUCCGCGAUGUGGCACGUCGGGCGCAUGCCCGGCGUGCUAAAGUCCCCGGCCCCCCCGGGGGCGCUUUCGGAGCGGCCCGCGUCCUAUCAGGUAGCUGGUGGGGUAACGGCUCACCAGGCCGACGACGGGUAGGUGGUCUGGGAGGACGGCCAUCGAGGGGGGCACUGAGAUUAAGGGCCCCAUCCCCCAGGAUGGGGGGUCGAGCAGUGCGGAAUCUUCCCCAAUUCGCGAAAGCGAGAGGGAGCGACGCCGCGUGGGGGAGACAGCCUUCGGGUUGUAAACCCCUGUCGGAGGGGAAGAAGCCGGAGCGGUCGCGCCGCCGGUGGGUCCCCCCGGCGCGUGCCGCCCGCUCCGGUCGACGGUACCCUCAGAGGAAGCGCCGGCCAACGGGCGUGUCAGCAGCCGCGAGAACACGCCGGGCGCAAGCGUUGUCCGGUACCACUGGGCGUCAAGGGCAACCGAGGCGGCCCGGUCCGUCCGGCGUCAAAGCCCCGGGCUCAACCCGGGAACGGCGCCGGAAACCGCCGGGCUUGAGGGCGGUAGAGGGGAGUGGAAUUCCGGGUGGAGCGGUGAAAUGCGUCGAGAUCCGGAGGAACACCGAAGGCGAAGGCAGUUCCCUGGGCCGCCCCUGACGCUGAGGUGCGAAAGCCAGGGGAGCGAGCGGGAUUGGAGACCCCGUUAGUCCUGGCCCUAGAAGCUGGAGACUAGCCCUCGGGCCGCGCGCGGGCGGCGCGAUCGGCUCGGGGGCGCAGCUCACGCGACAAGUCUCCCGCCUGGGGAGUACGGCCGCAAGGCUGAAAUCCAACGGAAUUGGCGAGCGCCUGCACAAGCGGCGGAACACGGGGCUUAAUGGGACGGCUCCCCAGAACCUUACCAGGGCUUGACAUGCCGCCGCAUCCCUGCGGGAAACCGCAGCGGUGCCGCUCCGAGUCGGAGCGGCGAGGCGGCACCGGUGCAGCGUGGUCAUUGUCAGCCCGUACCGUGAGGCGUGGGGUUCACUCCCCGUAACGGGCGCAACCCUCACCCCGUGUUGCCAGCGGACGCUGCGGUCCCGGUCGGCGCUGGUUGAGCGCCGGUUCGGGCCGCGGCGCGCCGGGCACUCACGGGGAACCGCCGGGUAACCGGGAGGAAGGAGAGGGCGACUUUCGAUCCGUACGGCCCUCAUGCCCUGGGCCGCACCCGUGUUACAGUGGCCGGAGCAAAGCGUUCCCAACCCGCGAGGGGGAGGCAAUCGCAAAAUCCCGGUCGUGGUUCCGAUCGCAGGCUGCAACCCGCCUGCGUGAAGCCGGAGUCGCUAGUAACCGCCGGUCAGCCAUACGGCGGUGAAUCCGUUCCCAGGCGCCGUUCA
This 1499-nucleotide ribosomal RNA is filed under the name Bacillota bacterium. RNAcentral describes it as "bacterial SSU rRNA". It matches the Rfam family "Bacterial small subunit ribosomal RNA", at positions 11 to 1387 of the family's 1533-position model. Lineage: Bacteria; Bacillati; Bacillota. The record is from RNAcentral.